RNAcentral lists this ribosomal RNA (2931 nucleotides) under Escherichia coli. Its description in RNAcentral is "23S ribosomal RNA". It matches the Rfam family "Bacterial large subunit ribosomal RNA". The record is from RNAcentral. Lineage: Bacteria; Pseudomonadati; Pseudomonadota; Gammaproteobacteria; Enterobacterales; Enterobacteriaceae.
GGGUUGUGAGGUUAAGCGACUAAGCGUACACGGUGGAUGCCCUGGCAGUCAGAGGCGAUGAAGGACGUGCUAAUCUGCGAUAAGCGUCGGUAAGGUGAUAUGAACCGUUAUAACCGGCGAUUUCCGAAUGGGGAAACCCAGUGUGAUUCGUCACACUAUCAUUAACUGAAUCCAUAGGUUAAUGAGGCGAACCGGGGGAACUGAAACAUCUAAGUACCCCGAGGAAAAGAAAUCAACCGAGAUUCCCCCAGUAGCGGCGAGCGAACGGGGAGCAGCCCAGAGCCUGAAUCAGUGUGUGUGUUAGUGGAAGCGUCUGGAAAGGCGUGCGAUACAGGGUGACAGCCCCGUACACAAAAAUGCACAUACUGUGAGCUCGAUGAGUAGGGCGGGACACGUGGUAUCCUGUCUGAAUAUGGGGGGACCAUCCUCCAAGGCUAAAUACUCCUGACUGACCGAUAGUGAACCAGUACCGUGAGGGAAAGGCGAAAAGAACCCCGGCGAGGGGAGUGAAAAAGAACCUGAAACCGUGUACGUACAAGCAGUGGGAGCACGCUUAGGCGUGUGACUGCGUACCUUUUGUAUAAUGGGUCAGCGACUUAUAUUCUGUAGCAAGGUUAACCGAAUAGGGGAGCCGAAGGGAAACCGAGUCUUAACUGGGCGUUAAGUUGCAGGGUAUAGACCCGAAACCCGGUGAUCUAGCCAUGGGCAGGUUGAAGGUUGGGUAACACUAACUGGAGGACCGAACCGACUAAUGUUGAAAAAUUAGCGGAUGACUUGUGGCUGGGGGUGAAAGGCCAAUCAAACCGGGAGAUAGCUGGUUCUCCCCGAAAGCUAUUUAGGUAGCGCCUCGUGAAUUCAUCUCCGGGGGUAGAGCACUGUUUCGGCAAGGGGGUCAUCCCGACUUACCAACCCGAUGCAAACUGCGAAUACCGGAGAAUGUUAUCACGGGAGACACACGGCGGGUGCUAACGUCCGUCGUGAAGAGGGAAACAACCCAGACCGCCAGCUAAGGUCCCAAAGUCAUGGUUAAGUGGGAAACGAUGUGGGAAGGCCCAGACAGCCAGGAUGUUGGCUUAGAAGCAGCCAUCAUUUAAAGAAAGCGUAAUAGCUCACUGGUCGAGUCGGCCUGCGCGGAAGAUGUAACGGGGCUAAACCAUGCACCGAAGCUGCGGCAGCGACGCUGAUGCGUUGUUGGGUAGGGGAGCGUUCUGUAAGCCUGUGAAGGUGUACUGUGAGGUAUGCUGGAGGUAUCAGAAGUGCGAAUGCUGACAUAAGUAACGAUAAAGCGGGUGAAAAGCCCGCUCGCCGGAAGACCAAGGGUUCCUGUCCAACGUUAAUCGGGGCAGGGUGAGUCGACCCCUAAGGCGAGGCCGAAAGGCGUAGUCGAUGGGAAACAGGUUAAUAUUCCUGUACUUGGUGUUACUGCGAAGGGGGGACGGAGAAGGCUAUGUUGGCCGGGCGACGGUUGUCCCGGUUUAAGCGUGUAGGCUGGUUUUCCAGGCAAAUCCGGAAAAUCAAGGCUGAGGCGUGAUGACGAGGCACUACGGUGCUGAAGCAACAAAUGCCCUGCUUCCAGGAAAAGCCUCUAAGCAUCAGGUAACAUCAAAUCGUACCCCAAACCGACACAGGUGGUCAGGUAGAGAAUACCAAGGCGCUUGAGAGAACUCGGGUGAAGGAACUAGGCAAAAUGGUGCCGUAACUUCGGGAGAAGGCACGCUGAUAUGUAGGUGAAGUCCCUCGCGGAUGGAGCUGAAAUCAGUCGAAGAUACCAGCUGGCUGCAACUGUUUAUUAAAAACACAGCACUGUGCAAACACGAAAGUGGACGUAUACGGUGUGACGCCUGCCCGGUGCCGGAAGGUUAAUUGAUGGGGUUAGCGCAAGCGAAGCUCUUGAUCGAAGCCCCGGUAAACGGCGGCCGUAACUAUAACGGUCCUAAGGUAGCGAAAUUCCUUGUCGGGUAAGUUCCGACCUGCACGAAUGGCGUAAUGAUGGCCAGGCUGUCUCCACCCGAGACUCAGUGAAAUUGAACUCGCUGUGAAGAUGCAGUGUACCCGCGGCAAGACGGAAAGACCCCGUGAACCUUUACUAUAGCUUGACACUGAACAUUGAGCCUUGAUGUGUAGGAUAGGUGGGAGGCUUUGAAGUGUGGACGCCAGUCUGCAUGGAGCCGACCUUGAAAUACCACCCUUUAAUGUUUGAUGUUCUAACGUUGACCCGUAAUCCGGGUUGCGGACAGUGUCUGGUGGGUAGUUUGACUGGGGCGGUCUCCUCCUAAAGAGUAACGGAGGAGCACGAAGGUUGGCUAAUCCUGGUCGGACAUCAGGAGGUUAGUGCAAUGGCAUAAGCCAGCUUGACUGCGAGCGUGACGGCGCGAGCAGGUGCGAAAGCAGGUCAUAGUGAUCCGGUGGUUCUGAAUGGAAGGGCCAUCGCUCAACGGAUAAAAGGUACUCCGGGGAUAACAGGCUGAUACCGCCCAAGAGUUCAUAUCGACGGCGGUGUUUGGCACCUCGAUGUCGGCUCAUCACAUCCUGGGGCUGAAGUAGGUCCCAAGGGUAUGGCUGUUCGCCAUUUAAAGUGGUACGCGAGCUGGGUUUAGAACGUCGUGAGACAGUUCGGUCCCUAUCUGCCGUGGGCGCUGGAGAACUGAGGGGGGCUGCUCCUAGUACGAGAGGACCGGAGUGGACGCAUCACUGGUGUUCGGGUUGUCAUGCCAAUGGCACUGCCCGGUAGCUAAAUGCGGAAGAGAUAAGUGCUGAAAGCAUCUAAGCACGAAACUUGCCCCGAGAUGAGUUCUCCCUGACUCCUUGAGAGUCCUGAAGGAACGUUGAAGACGACGACGUUGAUAGGCCGGGUGUGUAAGCGCAGCGAUGCGUUGAGCUAACCGGUACUAAUGAACCGUGAGGCUUAACCUUACAACGCCGAAGGUGUUU